UAGACUAUGGUAAGACUGGAAGCCAAAAGC
This 30-nucleotide non-coding RNA is filed under the name Mus musculus (house mouse). Lineage: Eukaryota; Metazoa; Chordata; Mammalia; Rodentia; Muridae. The record is from RNAcentral.